AUUGAACGCUGGCGGCAGGCUUAACACAUGCAAGUCGAGCGGAGAGAGGUAGCUUGCUACUGAUCUUAGCGGCGGACGGGUGAGUAAUGCUUAGGAAUCUGCCUAUUAGUGGGGGACAACAUUUCGAAAGGAAUGCUAAUACCGCAUACGUCCUACGGGAGAAAGCAGGGGAUCUUCGGACCUUGCGCUAAUAGAUGAGCCUAAGUCGGAUUAGCUAGUUGGUGGGGUAAAGGCCUACCAAGGCGACGAUCUGUAGCGGGUCUGAGAGGAUGAUCCGCCACACUGGGACUGAGACACGGCCCAGACUCCUACGGGAGGCAGCAGUGGGGAAUAUUGGACAAUGGGCGCAAGCCUGAUCCAGCCAUGCCGCGUGUGUGAAGAAGGCCUUAUGGUUGUAAAGCACUUUAAGCGAGGAGGAGGCCACUUUAGUUAAUACCUAGAGAUAGUGGACGUUACUCGCAGAAUAAGCACCGGCUAACUCUGUGCCAGCAGCCGCGGUAAUACAGAGGGUGCAAGCGUUAAUCGGAUUUACUGGGCGUAAAGCGCGCGUAGGCGGCUAAUUAAGUCAAAUGUGAAAUCCCCGAGCUUAACUUGGGAAUUGCAUUCGAUACUGGUUAGCUAGAGUGUGGGAGAGGAUGGUAGAAUUCCAGGUGUAGCGGUGAAAUGCGUAGAGAUCUGGAGGAAUACCGAUGGCGAAGGCAGCCAUCUGGCCUAACACUGACGCUGAGGUGCGAAAGCAUGGGGAGCAAACAGGAUUAGAUACCCUGGUAGUCCAUGCCGUAAACGAUGUCUACUAGCCGUUGGGGCCUUUGAGGCUUUAGUGGCGCAGCUAACGCGAUAAGUAGACCGCCUGGGGAGUACGGUCGCAAGACUAAAACUCAAAUGAAUUGACGGGGGCCCGCACAAGCGGUGGAGCAUGUGGUUUAAUUCGAUGCAACGCGAAGAACCUUACCUGGCCUUGACAUAGUAAGAACUUUCCAGAGAUGGAUUGGUGCCUUCGGGAACUUACAUACAGGUGCUGCGUGGCUGUCGUCAGCUCGUGUCGUGAGAUGUUGGGUUAAGUCCCGCAACGAGCGCAACCCUUUUCCUUAUUUGCCAGCGAGUAAUGUCGGGAACUUUAAGGAUACUGCCAGUGACAAACUGGAGGAAGGCGGGGACGACGUCAAGUCAUCAUGGCCCUUACGGCCAGGGCUACACACGUGCUACAAUGGUCGGUACAAAGGGUUGCUACCUAGCGAUAGGAUGCUAAUCUCAAAAAGCCGAUCGUAGUCCGGAUUGGAGUCUGCAACUCGACUCCAUGAAGUCGGAAUCGCUAGUAAUCGCGGAUCAGAAUGCCGCGGUGAAUAAAAUCCCGGGCCU
This 1359-nucleotide ribosomal RNA is filed under the name uncultured bacterium. Its description in RNAcentral is "bacterial SSU rRNA". It matches the Rfam family "Bacterial small subunit ribosomal RNA", at positions 28 to 1381 of the family's 1533-position model. The record is from RNAcentral.